AGUCGAGCGGUAACAGAUAUAGCUUGCUAUCUGGUGACGAGCGGCGGACGGGUGAGUAAUGCUUGGGAAUAUGCCUUAUGGUGGGGGACAACAGUUGGAAACGACUGCUAAUACCGCAUAACGUCUACGGACCAAAGGGGGGGAUCUUCGGACCUCUCGCCAUUUGAUUAGCCCAAGUGAGAUUAKCUAGUUGGUGAGGUAAUGGSUCACCAAGGCGACAAUCUCUAUCUGGUUUGAGAGGAUGAUCAGCCACACUGGGACUGAGACACGGCCCACACUCCUACAGGAGGCAGCACA
This 297-nucleotide ribosomal RNA is filed under the name uncultured bacterium. RNAcentral's name for it is "partial 16S ribosomal RNA". It matches the Rfam family "Bacterial small subunit ribosomal RNA", at positions 60 to 353 of the family's 1533-position model. The record is from RNAcentral.